UUUCCGUAGGUGAACCUGCGGAGGGAUCAUUAUUGUAUAACCAAGGUGCAAAGGCCGUCGCUGACCCGAAUGGCCGUGCACGCCCGAGAGCCCUCACACGCAAACAUCUCACCCCUAUCUGCACCACCGCGUAGGUCCCCCUUUGGCUUGUUAGGUGGGGGGCUUACGUUUUCACACACAAUAUUUAUGACAUGUAGAAUGUAUUUUUUGUUUUUGCGAUCAAGCGAUCCAUACAACUUUAACAAACGGCUCACUUGCCUCCCGCAUCCAUAAAGACUGUAAAAGGGUUUCCGUCGCUGAACCACCGUAUGCCUCAUUAUAGGUAAACGUGGUAGCAAGGUCUCCCGUGGUCACGCAGCGCCGGGAUCGUCACAGUGCCCUCACCCCCAACCCCCCCGCCCCUAUACGACUCACCGCGUGGGUCGCCCUUCGGCCUGUUGGUAGGGGGGGUUACGUUUUCACACAAACUUUGUAUGCCGGGUAGAAUAUAUUUUUUGUUUGUGCGAUCACGCAAUAAAUACAACUUUCAACAACGGAUCUCUUGGCUCUC
RNAcentral lists this unclassified non-coding RNA (550 nucleotides) under plant metagenome. RNAcentral's name for it is "partial contains small subunit ribosomal RNA, internal transcribed spacer 1, and 5.8S ribosomal RNA". The record is from RNAcentral.